UCGCUCGGUGACGUACACAUCUUAUUCUCAGCUAACAGACGUUUCCUGUUAUGUUCACACUCCCACGCAAUGGCACACAGUGGUCCAGAAAUGAAAAAUCAUGGCAAAAAUGUGCAUUUUUUAUAUUUUACUGUUUUUUGUCCAAAAGAAAUGUUGUGGAACAUGUAUUAUGGUCGCCAAGCUUAUUUUACGCAUUGUCACAAUCUUUGGUUUUCAUACAACAAAAUUGAUGUUUUUCAUAAAUGUUGAUGCUCUUAAUAAUACCAAAAAACGAAUGUUUAGGCAAGUUUAAGCAAGAGGAUUGAUCUCUAAUCGAUUCCUUAGACAUAUGAGAGCAUUUGAAAAAUGAAGCUGUCUUUUUUUUUAUUUGACACAGUGUUUUGUAACCUUUCAAAAAAGUUACAAUAUUUUGUACCAUAGCAAUCAACCUAUUGAAUUAACUCCUCUUGUAAAUAGCUUUUUGUAAAUAGUUUUUGUAUAUACUUUGUAUAUAUUUAAUUUGUUAGUUGUUAGAAUCUUUUUUCUUAAAAUAUAUUGAAUUUGUGGUCAUAAAAUAAAAUAAAUAAAAUUAAAUAGAAUAUGAAAUAAAUGAAUUUAAUCCCUAUCCUUUCCUACCCCUUUUUCCUUGGUGUCAGAUGCCCUUUACAAUCCUAUUUUAACUUGAAUUUAUAAACCUUUCCCAAUAUCCCCCUGACACCAAAGACCGUGUGCACCAACCAUAUUGUACGUUGGGUACACGUCAUCGCAAUAUGAAUCCCAGAUCCAGAACAUCAUCUGGAAUAAAAACCCCAUGCAUCGAUGGAUCGAUCUCUUAUUCGUGUAACGAAAUAGUGAAAUUAGUGACCACGUGAGCGUUAUUGGUCAAGUCUACCCGGCAUUGAAGCUUCUGUGUGACCGCCCGUUAGUGAAGCAUCCACGUGUUAGGGAGAGUCGACCAAACGUUAGUGGGUGCAACUACCGAAGAGAAGGUAUCGAGCGAGGCCACCCGCCAACCCAGCCUGCGUCGCAUCAUCAGCGGCAGCGAAUUAUCGUGGAUACCCGAGCAGAAAAAGGUGUGUCCAUUCCAAAUUCCCCCUUUAAUCAUUCCUUUGUACAUAUCUAUUGAAUUCGAAUAAUUAAAUUGUAAGACUUUAUUGAAUUAGAA
Molecule: long non-coding RNA, 1144 nt
Organism: Aedes aegypti (yellow fever mosquito)
Lineage: Eukaryota; Metazoa; Arthropoda; Insecta; Diptera; Culicidae
Exons: 2
Source: RefSeq, a predicted model, not a curated record